This is an RNA transcript of Cyprinus carpio (common carp), 1136 nucleotides long. It is a transcript of the gene named ras-related protein ORAB-1, with no coding region annotated. The record is from RefSeq and is a predicted model, not a curated record. NCBI's taxonomy places the organism in Eukaryota, Metazoa, Chordata, Actinopteri, Cypriniformes, Cyprinidae.
CUAACGAACCCAUUUUUUUUUACGUGCGUCCGUAUCCCGCUUCCGCUCAUUCCUCUCCUAAAACCGCAUUUAACACCGAUUAAUAACGGGUUUCACCGGCCUCGCACUUUAAUCGCUUUCAUCGCAGAGAAGAACACGACAGAUAAUUCGGGAGUCUCUGUCAUUAUGAAUCCUGAAUAUGAUUACCUGUUCAAGCUCCUGCUGAUCGGAGACUCUGGCGUGGGGAAGUCCUGUCUUCUGCUGCGGUUCGCUGACGACACGUAUACAGAGAGCUACAUCAGCACGAUCGGAGUGGACUUCAAAAUCAGGACGAUAGAGCUCGACGGAAAGACCAUCAAACUACAGAUCUGGGACACGGCCGGCCAGGAGAGGUUUCGCACCAUCACGUCCAGCUACUACAGAGGAGCUCACGGGAUCAUUGUUGUUUACGAUGUCACGGAUCAGGAGUCCUUCAACAACAUCAAACAGUGGCUUCAGGAGAUCGAUCGCUAUGCCAGUGAAAACGUCAACAAGCUCCUGGUGGGAAACAAGUGUGACCUGACCACUAAGAAAGUUGUGGAUUACACAGCAGCGAAGGAGUUUGCGGACUCUCUCAGCAUCCCGUUCCUGGAGACGAGCGCCAAGAGCUCCACUAAUGUGGAACAGGCCUUCAUGACCAUGGCGGCUGAGAUCAAGAGGAGAAUGGGCCCCGGGGCCACUGCGGGAGGCCCCGAGAAAUCCAACGUCAAUAUUCAGAGCACGCCGGUCAAGACGUCCUCCGGAGGAUGCUGCUGAGACCCAGCGACAGUAACGUUACCAACCAUACGCCACAGCUGAGUUAGAAGGAAGCCAUCUGGAUAGUACGAAGUGAAGGAGAUGAUGACCUAGAGCACAGAUGUCAGCAUGUGCCCCGCGUGGAAAUAUGUCUGAACAUUUUUACACACAAAGAUUCUGAUUACCUGCUAAUAUAGAUUUGUCUAGUUUUAAAUGAGUAAUCUUGAAGCAGAACGUUGCAUUGCUCAGAUCUUGGUCUUUAAUAGUUAGGAGACUUAAAAAUUAUGCUUUAUAACUUUGUGCUUUACAACUUUGUGUCAGAUGCAUUUUCUAGAAUAGGGGCCUUCAAAAUUGGGGCUCAUAGAAAUGUUUAGGAAAUAAAA